Molecule: ribosomal RNA, 321 nt
Filed under: uncultured eukaryote
Lineage: Eukaryota
Description: partial 18S ribosomal RNA
Rfam family: Eukaryotic small subunit ribosomal RNA
Source: RNAcentral
CCCUUAGAUGUCCUGGGCCGCACGCGCGCUACACUGACAUGUUCAACAAGCCUCCUAGUUCGACAGGAUUUGGGAAAUCUUUGAACGCAUGUCGUGAUAGGGAUAGAUCAUUGCAAUUAUUGAUCUUGAACGAGGAAUUCCUAGUAAACGCGAGUCAUCAGCUCGCAUUGAUUACGUCCCUGCCCUUUAUACACACCGCCCGUCGCACCUACCGAUUGAAUGUUUCGGUGAAGAUUCCGGAUAGGACUUUUUUGAUUUAUUUCAAUUUUGUCUUAAAAGCUAUCUAAACCUCAACAUUUAGAGGAAGGUGAAGUCGUAACA